This is a long non-coding RNA of Sarcophilus harrisii (Tasmanian devil), 2752 nucleotides long. RefSeq lists it as uncharacterized. Lineage: Eukaryota; Metazoa; Chordata; Mammalia; Dasyuromorphia; Dasyuridae. The record is from RefSeq and is a predicted model, not a curated record. The transcript is spliced from 3 exons.
AGAGGAAGAGGUGUAAAUUUAAGAAGAUUGUGCGGGCUGAUUUGUCCUGACGUUACUGGCUUAAGCUGUAAGGAGGGGAAGUUGAGCAACACAGUGUGGGCUUUCAGGGAGCCGGGGUGGAACCCUCAGAGCGAAGUGAAGGGUAUGAGAUGGAACUUCAGCUUAGUAAUUGUCUUUGUCAGAAAAUACUAUUAGGUUUAUGAGUAUUUUUUUUUUGGGUCAACUGAAAGAUCCCAAGAUGAAAACUCAGCCAAGUUUCAAACUUCCAGAUUGAGGAGAAAAUAUUAUAAGCAACAUAAGGGAAACGUGUACUGAGGAUAAUGUAAGAUCUAGCAGCUUCUACAUGAAAAUAGCAAUGCUUUGGACAUUUUCAAAGAGCAAAAGAGCCAAGAUUGUAAUCAAAAAUAACUUAUCAAGCAAAACUGAGUAUAAUCCUGAACAGAGGAAAAUCUGGAUAUUAACUGUGGAAAAAAUCUUAUUUGUGACAGACCAGGACUUCAAUAGAAAAUUUGAUAUCUAAGAUCCAAGACAAUCAAGGACUGAACUAGCAUCACUCCUGUAACCAAAGAAAUAUAUAUAACAGAAGAUGGGGUGAAGAUUUCCACCAUGACAGAUCUUGAUGUGAGCCUGGAAGACUAUCAGGGUUUAAGAUUUAAAAAUUCUUAAUCUGUAACCACAAAGAAAAAGUAUCUCUAUGAAAACAGUCCUACUGGAGAAGGAACAUGGGAAAUGAUUUCAGAAGCAACGUCAUCGUUACUUGAACUGCAGAGUGCAACAAUAAAGACUUUUGGUGUUUCCCUUCUUCACUCCUUUGCUAAUCUUUACUUCUUGAUGGAGUCCUAGUUGAUCAAUCAAAGUAACCUUAUUUUAUCCCCAAGAAAAGUAUGCCUAAUAUGUCAAGGGACUUGAGACUGUCCUAUGAAAUGACCAAUUCAGCGUCAGUAGCAUUUGAGACAGCUCUAGUCCUUUGAAAAAUCCCUUUAGCUCUCCGAGAAGGCUCCAUUGCUCUCCUUCGGAAGUAAAUCUUAAAUAGAUCAUUGGACUGAGUUAUUUGAUACCAAAAUAAGGUUUUUUUUUAUUUAUUUUUUUUUUUUUUGGUGUAUAUGUAGGGGCUUUCCCUCUCAUCUUCUCACUAGAGAGAUAAUGUACUUCAGAUAUAUCAAAUGAGUAGACUGAUAAAACUGGACAUUUUGCUCAAACUAGCUUCUUGGGAGGAACUUAGAAGCUUUAAUAUGCCACUAAUGUAUUAUCCAAACAACCAGCAAGGACUCUUUAAACAUUCCAGAGAAAAGGGCACUGUUGUUAGUUCUAUAGACAUACAUGAUUUGUGAUCUGAUUCUUAUUUUUUUCCCCUCUGUUGGGGGGCCAUUCUGAAAGGAUUGACAUGAGUUCUUGAUGCCAGUGAACUUGGAAACGAUUGGCAGGCAAACAGUUUGUAUUUUCAUCAGGGCCCUACCCUGAGAAAAGGGGUUCUGCAUCUUUCAUUCAGAAAGACCAUUUCCAAGCCACAGUUCUGGGGUCUCCUCUUUGACUUUCAGCCUAAAAGUUACUUCUAUUAAAAAAUUUAAUAAAUUUUCAUUUAAAAAGUGAUAUUUGUUUUAGUUAUGGGAAGAUAUGGCAGGUAAGGUUUGCCUGCAUGUAAGGAGUUGGGGAGGGGAAUCAGUUGACUAUCUCCAUACUAGAAAAAUUCUAAGUAUGUAGCUAUUCACUGCCAUGUCAUACAUAGACGUAGAUUGUGAAAAGGGGACAGACUCUCACUUCUUCUCUCUCACUAUAUUUAACAUGGUACUAUACUAUGGCAUAGCUCCUAACAGUCCUUCCACUUCUAGGAGUUAGCCAGGGCUAGUUCCAACAAAAGAUGGGCAAGAGUAUGAACAAGGUCUGAGACCUUGUCAGACCAAGAAUGUGCAGAGAUCAGUUAUGCUGUUUCACAUCUUUUGCUAUUCCUCUAUACUACUAAGUACCUGUCACAUAUUUGUCUGGUUUUCAGGUGCCAUCUAAUGGCCACUCAUAGCACUUAUUGUUAAAAGCAAUUGUUGAGAAUUAAAAAAAAAAAUUGGCUUUAGAUCAUGAUGAGUGAAGCAGCUAGUUUCUCCAUUCUGUCAAGGCAGGCCAACUAAUUAGUGCUUGACAUGAGAGUGGCUGAGGCUUAAUAUUAGUGAUUCCAGUGGAGGCCACAAAAUUAGGCAUAGAAGGAACCCUUAUCUUAGAUAAGAAACUAAAGCUCACAUAUUGAGUAAUUUUGCCAAGGUAACCAAAACAGGUUUAAAUCCAGAUUUUUGUUGAUGGACAUUCUUAUAGUCAACUUAGGAUUUUGAUAGGGUUUCUUGCCAAGUCAGAUACUUAAGCAAUUCUGAAAGGACCAUGAAAUCCUGAGCUAGAACUCCAAAUAGUUGGUGAGUUACCAGUAUGGGUAAACUACAAAUAAAUGGAAUGAAAUAUUUUAUACAUCCUGAGCUUUAUAACUGUAUUAUAUGUAGUUUUGGUCCCAAGGUCUUCUGUUACGCCACAACACUGCAAGCAAAAUGUGAAGAGAGAAUGUGGAAUCCUAGUUGAAAAUGACCAGUCUCAUCUAACCUUCAUCUGAGUAAGUUACCCUCUAAACCAGACCAGGGUGUUGAUGUUAAUAUUUAGUGGGAAUAAUAGCAAUGAGUAGCUAUAGUGGUUUUGAUGUGGGGUGGCUAGUACAGUUCAGUCUAGCACAGAUGUUUCAAUCCAGUAACUAACAUUUAUCUAACACUUUCUAUGUGCC